CCUCCCUUGUGCAUGAUUUGAGUGGAUAAAGAUUGAUUAGUUGGCCAUUUAAAUUCAAAUGAUGUUUGAAUUUGAAUGAGCAACUAAUCCCAUGUGCCACCUUAUCCACUUGUGCGCCACUUGCUCUACAUGAGAAAAAGUUUCUCAUGUAAACUCUCCACGCACAAAGAACCCAUGCCCCCUUAUUCUCACACCAAGAGUGGAUAAAG
Molecule: long non-coding RNA, 209 nt
Filed under: Elaeis guineensis (African oil palm)
Lineage: Eukaryota; Viridiplantae; Streptophyta; Magnoliopsida; Arecales; Arecaceae
Description: long non-coding RNA (EGUI_LNC065610)
Source: RNAcentral